RNAcentral lists this ribosomal RNA (1650 nucleotides) under Triticum aestivum (bread wheat). Its description in RNAcentral is "partial small subunit ribosomal RNA". The record is from RNAcentral. Lineage: Eukaryota; Viridiplantae; Streptophyta; Magnoliopsida; Poales; Poaceae.
AUGUGCCCUGCCCCGCGCAUGGGCUGGCCCAACAGGGCACGCAUGGAGGCGCGAGGUUUUCACUGUUGUUACCUCGACCAACUGCCUAGCUGUGGAUGUGCAACUUCGGAUGCUACCCCGACCAACUGUCCAAUAGUCGACAUGCAACUUCCUCCCGUACCAUAUGGAAGUGUAGUUUUCACUUCUAGACCCAUGUCCCAACCACCCCUUAAAUCCGAAAUAAAUGCAAAUGGAUCUGUUUCCCCCAACCCGAAUGGUCAGUUGUCUAUGGCGUCUGAGGUCGGGCGUUUCCUAUUUAGCGCUGCAGGCGCCCGUUUGUGUGCAUUUCACAAACUGGCGCUUGCAGCGCCUCAUGCCAGGCCGGCCCAUAACCCAAAAAAAGAUGGAGCAGGUUGCGACUCGAACAUGGGACCUGGCUCGCCGCUAAAUGCUUGUGUUACCACCCUGCCACGCAGCAGAAAACCCCUGCAUUUAUUAGUUUUCAGCCCCUUCCCCAGUUUCCCCUCUGCCCCGACUAAAAAAAUCCCCUCUGCGCCGGCCGGCGCUCGACGGCCCGAUUCAGCGCCUUCCGCCGGAGACCGCCCGCCGCCGACGAGGGGCACGCCGGUGAUCUCCCCCAGCCCGCCUGCCCCUCUUUCAUCUCCGUUCUACUCCUUCUCUCUCGGCCCCCUCGAGCUCGCCUCGAUCCAUGGCCUCUCCUUAAACCUAGCUCCAGUCACGGCCACGACCGGCUUCGCAGCUCCCGGCCGCCAUCGCCUGCGCCUUCCCCCGUGUCUCCCUCACCUCGCCUGUGCAGCACCGUGGUUGUACAUCGCCAGCGCCAUCAGCUACAGCCCCGCUCUAAUCCACCUGCAAGCCAUGGACAGCGGCCUGGCUGCUCACUCGUCGCUGGCCUACCAGUACCUCCACCAACAUCUCAUCCAUCUAGAUCAGGGGCGCUUUAAUUUCAGCAGAUUUUCUUCUUCUUUGCAACAUGAUGUUUUCCUAUGCCUUGAGGAGUUGUUGAUGGAUGAUAUACAUAGGCUACCAGGUGGUAGCUCCAAUGUUGCAACUGAGGUCAGCAAUGGGUGCUUCUCCUGGGAUGGCUCACUUGAGAUACCAACAUUGAAGGAUCUGAAUUUUCAAGCUCGGCAAGGGAUGCGUGUUGCACUUUGUGGGACGCUAUUAGGAGAGGCCAAGACUUGCGGAACAAUGGCAUAUGUCAGCCACAAGGCAUGGAUACAGAGCGGCAAAAUUCAGGAUAACAUACUGCUCGGCAAGGAGAUGGAGAGUGAGGAGUAUGGCAGGGUCCUUGAGUGUUAUGAACUGCAUUGCACGUGCAUGAAGGCGAAUGAUUUUUCUGGAUGCCAUUGCCAUCUGAUCGAUGGUUUCGCCGCGGUCGUCGGGAGAAAUAUCAUCGACGGUAGGGGAAAAGCGGGUAGGCUGAGGCGGGCACCCACACCAAGCGGCCGACCCACGAAGGCGGCCAUGCAGCUCCGCCUCGUGCCUCUCUCCCCAUCUUUAUGUUCGUGUCAAACCCAGCGCAAGGUAGAGGCAGAAGAGGAGGCCGGGAAGAGAAGCUGCAAGAGAAAGUUGUUGAAGUGGAAGAAGUACUACCUCGCCCAGCCGCGCAUCCAAGACGCGACGCUUGCUGGAAAGCUGGUCAAGUAG